Molecule: ribosomal RNA, 406 nt
Filed under: uncultured bacterium
Lineage: Bacteria
Description: partial 16S ribosomal RNA
Rfam family: Bacterial small subunit ribosomal RNA
Source: RNAcentral
AUUGAACGCUGGCGGCCGGCCUAACACAUGCAAGUCGAGCGAGCGGCGCACGGGUUAGUAAUGUAUGGGGAUCUGCCCGCUAGAGGGGGAUACAUACUGGAAACGGUGGCUAAUACCGCAUACUAUCGGCUGAACCCAUAUGGGAUUAGCUAGUAGGUGGGGUAAAGGCUCACCUAGGCGACGAUCUCUAGCUGGUCUGAGAGGAUGAUCAGCCACACUGGGACUGAGACACGGCCCAGACUCCUACGGGAGGCAGCAGUGGUGAAUAUUGCACAAUGGGAGCAAGACUGAUGCAGCAAGGCCGCGUGUAUGAAGAAGGCCUUAGGGUUGUAAAGUACUUUCAGCGGGGAGGCGUUACCCGCAGAAGAAGCACCGGCUAACUCCGUGCCAGCAGCCGCGGUAAUAC